Molecule: ribosomal RNA, 450 nt
Filed under: uncultured bacterium
Lineage: Bacteria
Description: bacterial SSU rRNA
Rfam family: Bacterial small subunit ribosomal RNA
Source: RNAcentral
GUGGGGAAUUUUGGACAAUGGGGGCAACCCUGAUCCAGCCAUGCCGCGUGCGGGAAGAAGGCCUUCGGGUUGUAAACCGCUUUUAGUCGGAAAGAAAAGGCACGCCCUAAUACGGCGUGUUCUUGACGGUACCGGCGGAAUAAGCACCGGCUAACUACGUGCCAGCAGCCGCGGUAAUACGUAGGGUGCGAGCGUUAAUCGGAAUUACUGGGCGUAAAGCGUGCGCAGGCGGUUCGUUGUGUCUGAUGUGAAAUCCCCGGGCUCAACCCGGGAACUGCAUUGGAAACUGGCGGACUUGAGUGUGGCAGAGGGGGGUGGAAUUCCGCGUGUAGCAGUGAAAUGCGUAGAUAUGCGGAGGAACACCGAUGGCGAAGGCAGCCCCCUGGGCCAACACUGACGCUCAGGCACGAAAGCGUGGGGAGCAAACAGGAUUAGAUACCCCAGUAGUCC